This 1296-nucleotide long non-coding RNA is filed under the name Cricetulus griseus (Chinese hamster). Its description in RNAcentral is "lncRNA (ENSCGRG00015036017.1)". Lineage: Eukaryota; Metazoa; Chordata; Mammalia; Rodentia; Cricetidae. The record is from RNAcentral.
GCCCGCUCACAGGAUGGGGGUGCAGCUCGCCCCGCCACGUCCCGCCGGCUUGCAGCCGCUGCUUUUCCUCUCUGGAAACUCCUUAGCCGCGCCACCUCCGCUUGCACCCUGCCUCCUCCCGGGUACCGCUGCACCCACGCUGAAUCCCCAUCCAAAAUCCAUGAAGGAAUUUAGGAUGCUAAAUCUUGAGACAAACUAAUGGGGGGGGCGGGGCCAGGAUACGGUCCUCAUUUCCCCACUUAAUGAGAAUGCUGGAAGUUUACAGCAGAGAAUGACCUGUUCCAGAUAAAUACAGACUGCAGCAGCCAGCACCCCCUAAGGGGCUUUGUAAUAUACAUCAGAUGUGUGGCCACAUCAGUCCCUGGGAAGUUCAGGGCCCACAGAUGACCCCUCAUCCUCUUCUCCCCACUCCCCCCACGCAGGGUCUUACUUUGUAGCCCCGGCUAUCCUCCUGCCUCAAGAAGCUGAGAAUUUUGUCUUGCUUUCCUUCUUUCCGUUUACGUCCACGUGCGUGUGUAUACAUGGAGCCCAGCCCUGUGCCUCUACAUAUGGGCACUCACUGGGAGGGAAGAGCCCGUCCAGUCCAUCUUCAGUUACGUAUUGGCGUUGACACCUCCUACAUACAAGUCACAAUUGCCAGCCUUGGGGACACAGCAGUGCCCGUCUUCAUUGGUACUUCCAGUCUAGCGAGGAAGCAGAAUAUAAAAUUCCCACAAUGAUUAGUAACUAUUAUGACAAGCUCCGAGAAGUCCCAACUGCAGGCUUGCCCAGCACACAAACAGACCGGAGCUCGAUCCCCAGCACCAACCACACAAAAGCAUCCUUGAACACUGGUCUCCAGGAAGCAUUCCCUUGCACAGCUCUCUCCAACAGGCUGUUGACCCUUGAAUGUUUAUGGAGAAGACAGACUGGGAAAGGCAAAGACUUCAAUCAAAGAGGAAUCAGUGGGAGUCUGGGCAGUCUUUCCUGAGAAGAUGUGAACACAUGUCUGCUUACCCUGCAUAGGGCACCAACGACAGACCAAAGAGACUGGACCCCACAGCUCUGAGUCUUGUUUGUGGCGACAAUUAUGGGAGUUGCUUUUCAGGCGGAUGGGUGCCUCUGGCACUGACUGCUUCAUGAAAAAGCCCACUGCAGUCUGGGUCAGAUGACUCAUCUAAGGGACAUUUCGAGCUCCCUAUGUUACUUGCAACUUUCUUGUGUGUUCUUAUACCUUUCUUAAGAAUUUCCUGAGGCUCCUUGUCUCCCUCACUCCACAAGCAGGGACUGGUCUGCAGCUGGUGGAGCACACCAGGG